GUUGAGCGUUUUAUUGCUCGAUGCACUACAUGUCAAAAAGCUAAGUCACGACUCAAUCCUCAUGGUUUAUAUAUGCCUUUGCAUGUACCUACUGUUCCUUGGGAGGAUAUAUCUAUGGACUUUGUUUUAGGUUUACCUCGAACAAAGAAGGGGAGGGAUAGCAUAUUUGUUGUCGUGGAUAGAUUCUCGAAAAUGGCACACUUUAUACCAUGUCAUAAAAGCGAUGAUGCUGUUAAUGUUGCUGAUUUGUUCUUUCGUGAAAUUAUUCGCUUGCAUGGUGUGCCAAAUACUAUUGUUUCAGAUCAUGAUACUAAAUUUCUUAGCCACUUUUGGAGAUGUUUAUGGGCUAAGUUGGGGACUAAACUGCUUUUUAGUACUACUUGUCACCCCCAAACUGAUGGACAAACUGAAGUAGUCAAUAGAACGUUGUCUACUAUGCUUAGGCCUGUUUUGAAGAAUAAUAAGAAAAUGUGGGAGGAAUGCUUGCCUCAUAUUGAAUUUGCUUAUAAUCGUUCAUUGCAUUCUACUACUAAGAUGUGCCCUUUUGAAGUUGUGUAUGGUUUCCUACCUCGUGCACCUAUUGAUUUGUUGCCUCUUCCAUCUUCGGAGAAGGUUAAUUUUGAUGCUAAACAACGUGCUGAAUUGAUUUUAAAAAUGCAUGAGUUAACUAAGGAAAACAUUGAGCGUAUGAAUGCUAAAUAUAAACUUGCUGGAGAUAAGGGUAGAAAACAUGUUGUGUUUGCACCUGGAGAUCUU
Molecule: ribosomal RNA, 756 nt
Filed under: Triticum aestivum (bread wheat)
Lineage: Eukaryota; Viridiplantae; Streptophyta; Magnoliopsida; Poales; Poaceae
Description: partial small subunit ribosomal RNA
Source: RNAcentral